GUGUCAGCCGCCGCGGUAAUACGAAGGGGGCGAGCGUUGUUCGGAUUUACUGGGCGUAAAGGGCGCGCAGGCGGCUCAUUUUGUCAGGCGUGAAAGCCCCGGGCUUAACCUGGGAACUGCGUUUGAUACGGAUGGGCUAGAGUUCGGGAGAGGAGAGUGGAAUUCCCAGUGUAGAGGUGAAAUUCGUAGAUAUUGGGAAGAACACCGGUGGCGAAGGCGGCUCUCUGGACCGAGACUGACGCUGAGGCGCGAAAGCGUGGGGAGCAAACAGGAUUAGAUACCCUGGUAGUCCACGCUGUAAACGAUGUGUGCUAGACGUUGGGGAGCCUAGCUCUUCGGUGUCGCAGCUAACGCGGUAAGCACACCGCCUGGGGAGUACGGCCGCAAGGUUAAA
Molecule: ribosomal RNA, 394 nt
Filed under: uncultured bacterium
Lineage: Bacteria
Description: bacterial SSU rRNA
Rfam family: Bacterial small subunit ribosomal RNA
Source: RNAcentral